UUUAAGAGCAUAUGGCGGAUGCCUAGACUCAAAACGGCGAUGAAGGACGCAGUAUGGCGGCGAUACGCUCCGGGGAGGUGCCAAGCAACCUUUGAUCCGGAGAUCUCCGAAUGGGGAAACCCUGCCGUGCAAACCACGGAGCAUGGCAGCAUACCCGGGGAAGUGAAACAUCUCAGUACCCGGAGGAAAAGAAAUCAAUAGACAUUCCCCAAGUAGCGGCGAGCGAAAAGGGAGGAGCCCAAACCUUGGUGUGCAGGCUAAUUGAAUCCGCUGGAACGCGGAGCCAGAGAAGGUAAUAGCCCUGUAGGUGAAAGUGCGCACACACUCUGCAUUAUUCUUGAGUACCCCGGGACAUGAUUAGCCUGGGGGAAUCCGGCAGUACUAACUGCCAAGGCUAAAUACGUUUUGAGAUCGAUAGUGAACAAGUACCGUGAGGGAAAGGUGAAAAGCAGCCCGGUAAGGGCGUUGAAAUAGUUCCUGAAACCAUAUGCUUACAAGGAGUCAGAGUCCCGCCCUCUAUCCCCGUGAAUAUAUCACUGUGGUCAUUACGAGCGUUGUAACUUGUAUUGAUUACGGUUGUCUAUUCGUUGGGAAAGAGGGCGGGAUGAUGGCGUGCCUAUUGAAGAAUGAGCCAACGAGUUUAUGAGUGCUGCAAGCUAAGGCCUUACGGGCCGGAGCUACAGGGAAACCGAGUGUGAACAGCGCGCUAUCUUGUUGGGGACAAUAAGACCCGAAGCCAGGUGAGCUUACCAUGAGCAGGGUGAACCCCGUCGAAAGGCGGGGGGAGGCCCGAACCGUUUAGCGGUGCAACACUAUCGGAUGACUUGUGGUAAGGAGUGAAAAGCUAAUCGAACCUGGUAAUAGCUGGUUCUCUCCGAAAUAGCUUUCGGGCUAGCGUUUGGUGUACCUCUUGGGGGUAGAGCACUGGAAGGAUUGAAUAGGGAGCAAUCUCGUCAAUCCUAUCAAACUCCGAAUACCAAGAGCCACUGCCAAGCAGUUAGACUACGGGCGCUAAGGUCCGUUGGUCGAAAGGGGAACAGCCCAGACCUCCAUCUAAGGUCCCUAAAUUUACGCUCAGUGCACUCAAGGAGGUGAGAUUUCUCUGAUAAUGAGGAGGUUGGCUUAGAAGCAGCCACCCUUUAAAGAAAGCGUAACAGCUCACUCAUUAAGAGAUUUUGCGCCGAAGAUAAUCGGGGCUAAGCGUAGUACCGAAGGUGAGGAUGUCAGCCAGUGCUUUGCAGUGGCAUGGUAGGAGAGUAUUCUUACUUGCAAUGAAGCUGCCGCGGUGACGCGCUGUGGAGCAGUGAGAAGGAAGAAUGUUGGCACAAGUAACCGCAAUCCACGUGAGAUCCGUGGACGCCGAAAGACUAAGGUUUCCUUGGCGAUGGUGAUCAGCUAAGGGUUAGUCGGUCCUAAGGGGAUGGCGAGAGCCGCACCCGAUGGGCACACGGUUAAUAUUCCGUGACCUCGCAGCAGUUCGAUGGAGUGACGGAGGACAUAACGGGUAGCGCAUUAUUGGAUUUGCGUCCCUGCCGGUAGGCGCGUGCUCUAGGAAAAUCCGGAGCGCUGAUUCAAUUCAAGCACCGAUGGAGGGGAAAUGCUCCGCUUCGGCGGAGGAAAUUGCCCAGACGAGCCUUCCGAGAAAAGCUUCUAAGGUUCACUGCUGUGAGACCGUACCGCAAACCGACACAGGUAGUCAGGUCGAGAAGACCAAGGCGAACGAGUGAGUGCUCCUCAAGGAACUCGGCAAAAAAGCGGCCGUACGUUAGCAAUAAGGCCCGCCCUGUCAGUGCAAAGCACUGACCGCAGAAUAUCGCAGACUUGACGCAGACAAGGGUCGCAGCGAAAGAAUCCCUGGCGACUGUUUAUCAAAAACACAGCUCCCUGCGAACUCGUAAGAGGAUGUAUAGGGGGUGACGCCUGACCAAUGCCAGAAGGUCAAACACGGUUGGUUCUCCGUCUUCGGACGGUUGGCUGUACUGUGUAAGCCCUGGUGAAUGUCGGCGAUAACUAUGAAUGAUAGCGAAAUUCCUUGUCUGGUAACAGUUCAGACGCGCACGAAUGGCGUAACGACUGGGGAACUGUCUCGAGGAGUAGCUCGGUGAAAAUACAGUGGGGGUGAAGAUGCCCUCUACCUGCAGCUAGACGAAAAGACCCCAGGAGCUUUACUGCAACUUGGUAUUGAGCGUACGGUCUUACUGCGUAGCAUAGGUGGGAGACUUUGAAGUGCCGUUCUCGGAUGGCAUGGAGUCGUCAGUGAAAUACCACUCUGCACGAUUGUACGAUCUAACCUGACCGGCAAAAACGGUCGGAAACAGUAUCUGGUGGGCAGUUUGUUUGGGGCGAAUUCCUCCUAAAGAGUAACGGAGGAGUCUAUUAAGGUCAGCUAGGCGCGAAUGGAAACCGUGCCGAUAGUGUAAUGGCACAAGCUGGCUUGACUGCAAGGCGUACAUGCCGCGCAGGCGCGAAAGCGGAGCAUAGUGAACCGAGGGUACGUGUUAGACGCGGCCCGAGAUUAACGGAUAAAAGCUACCCUGGGGAUAACAGGCUGGUACCGCCCAAGAGUUCAUAUCGACGGCGGUGUUCGGCACCUCGAUGUCGGCUCAUCUUAUCCUGGGGCUGGAGAAGGUCCCAAGGGUUUGGCUGUUCGCCAAUUAAAAAGAUACGCGAGCUGGGUUCAAACCGUUCGUGAGACAGGUUGGUCUCCUAUCUGCUGCAGGCGUUGAUACUUGAGAAGAUUUGCUCCCAGUACGAGAGGACCGGAGUGAACCGACCGCUGGUCUAUCUGCUGUCCCGCCCGGGGCACCGCAGAGUAGCUAUGUCGGGAAUGGAUAACCUCUGAAAGCAUCUAAGAGGGAAGCCAACUUCAAGAUAAGGUAUCGUUAUAGAUCCGUGGGAGAUGACCACGUUGAUAGGCUCUAGGUGUACGCACAGUAAUGUGUUCAGCCGAGGAGUACUAAUCCAUCG
Molecule: ribosomal RNA, 2967 nt
Filed under: Parcubacteria group bacterium GW2011_GWB1_53_43
Lineage: Bacteria
Also listed under: 1 other name
Description: bacterial LSU rRNA
Rfam family: Bacterial large subunit ribosomal RNA
Source: RNAcentral